Molecule: non-coding RNA, 111 nt
Organism: Acanthosepion pharaonis
Lineage: Eukaryota; Metazoa; Mollusca; Cephalopoda; Sepiida; Sepiidae
Source: the annotation of a GenBank genome assembly
UCACGUCCAUUGAUGAAAAGCGCGGCCAACCAUGAGAAAUGAUGUGAAUUGCAGGACCCCGUGAACAUCGAAACUUCGAACGUACAUUGUGGCCUCAAAAUCUCUUGGGAG